CUUGUCUUGUUAAAAGCAAUCGACCAAAAGGCACCAAGGCAAUGCAUCCAAUAAAGUUUGCCUAUUAGUUGAGAUGUGUUUGCAUAUUCGAUUAGAUUUCUUUGAAUUUUACAAUUCUUCUAGUUUCUUUAAAUUGUUACCGGGUCUUAAUAAUACUAACGUUUCAAAAAUUGCCAAUUUCCAUAGAUUACCUACCACACAUCAAGUGACUUCUUAUUAAGGGUACCUCACCACAUAUGAAUUCAACAAGGAUUACUCAGACUGCAUAGUUUUAUAACUAUAAAUAUUUUCCGAAUAGCAUGAUUGUUAUUCAUUUUUUCCCCUCAAGACAUAUCAGCCCUUGAUAAAACUCCUAGCUCCUACCUUCGUUAGCAUCAUUAAUGUCCAAAGUACUUCAAUAACUAAUCUACUUCCCUACAAUACGUUUGUGAUGUCUUGAACACGAUGAACUGAAGAUUCCACUUCCUCCAUAAAACAACCCCCAAUUUUUUCAACUUAAUAUAUGUCUCUACGAAUAAAACUUUCAAAAUCAGAAAUUUGACAGAGAGCUUACCAAAAAUCGCCAAGUAAAACUAAGACUGUCCCAAGAAAAUCACUAGUUAAUAAAUUGUUAAUUGCAUGUUACCUGUGGAGAUUCGAACCACGAUUUCACAAAGGAAACUCAAAAAAAUAUGAAAUUCGCAACAUAAACAAAGAGAGAGAGAAAAUGGAAAGAUUAAUGGAUUACCAUUGCGAAUUCAGUCAUGCUCAUUGUGAAUCUGAAGGAGAUCUUUGAUUCUAACGAGUUCUUUACGAGUCGAGAUGGUUUGGUUAACGAAACCAGACCACGAUAUACUCCGAUACAUGCAAAGUGCAAACCCUAGUUUCGAGAUUGUCUUAUAGUAGUCCUAAUGUAAUUCGAUUUCAGUAAUGGUCCCUGUAUUUUUAUCAAAGAUUCACUCUUGUCCUUAGAGUUUUGAUUUAAACAAUCAAAAUCUUGUAUUUUUAAUUUAGUUUUCAAAGCAGUCCAAUAGUA
This 1015-nucleotide long non-coding RNA is filed under the name Actinidia chinensis (golden kiwifruit). RNAcentral's name for it is "long non-coding RNA (ACHI_LNC003883)". Lineage: Eukaryota; Viridiplantae; Streptophyta; Magnoliopsida; Ericales; Actinidiaceae. The record is from RNAcentral.